ACAUUUUUAAUUUUAAUGAAGUCCAGCUUAUCAAUUAUUUAUUUGGUGGAUUAUGCCUUUGGUGUUAUAUCUAAAAACUCACUGCCAUUCUCAGGGUCCUCUAGGUUGUCUCCCAUGUUAUCUUCUAGGAGUUUUUAGUUUUGCAUUUUACAUUUAGGUCUAUGAUCCAUUUUGAGUUAAUUUUUGUAAAGGGCAUAAAGUUUGUGUCUAGGUUUCUGUUUUUACAUGUGGAUGUCCAGUUGUUCCAGCACCAUUUGUUGAAACCAACUAUCUUUGCUCCAUUGUAUUGCUUUUGCUCCUUUGUCAAAGAUCAGUUUUUCAUUAGUUUUUGAAUUCAGAGACUAUGUGUAUUUAGACAUUGUUCCUCAAAAUUUUCCACUCAAUUAUCUCUUUUUGCUAAGGGGAGUGAACUAGGUGAUUGGCCUAUUAGCUUACAUAAAUGCAAAAUUUCUUUCAAGUGUCUUAUAUUGCUUUAAAUAUUUUGUAUGAGCCCUUCUGUUAACAUGGCAGAAACUCAGUACAAAUUCACAAAGCCAAGAAGAAUAGUAGAGGGCAUCUAAGAGAUAUCUGUGAAAUUUGUGAUGAUGGAAGGCAUAUGAAUGAUUAGUAACUCAGUAAGUGGAGUGGAGGAAGACUCUAAUGUAUUCAGGGGAGGUUGCUACAGAGGCACACUGGGUCCUAAGCGGAAAGCCUCAGGAAUUGGAGGUACCAGUUACCUCCAAAGGUGAGGGUAUAAAACAGUGUUGAAAGCAUGAGGAUUUGUUCAAAGCUAAUAAGGGUCAUUUAGAUCACCCAGGUAGCCAUGCACCUCAUUCUCCCUCUUCUUGUUUCCUGAAAAAAAUCUGGGUUCACAGAUACCAAAUACAGCUGAACAGGUUGAAGGACUGUAUGAAAAACAUGAGGAUUAAAUGAAAAUCUACAUAAUUAACAAUGGGAACAGUCUCCCUUUCCUUGCUUAAUUGCAAGAAUUCUAGCAGCCAGUCUUGUAAUUCCCGAGUGCAAGGAGGAACUGAUCAAGAGAAAAGACUUGGAUAUUGGCAGGUAGGGGUGUCUUGAAAUACAGUGUCUCUGCAUGACCACGCUAUACUGAGGCCUCUCCAUACCGAGUUUACAGUAAGUUCUCUGUUCCUUACUCUUAAGUAUGAAUGGAUAGUCAAGGAUUACCAGGUAUUGGGCGGAGGGCUUGGGGGGGGGGGGAUGAUUCUGUAGUAUAAAACCCAAUAAUCAAAUCAAAUAAAAAUUAUAAAACAGCUUUGAGUAAAGAGAUGCUGAAGGGGACAGAAUAAAUGUCUAAUAACUUAUCAUUAAUAUUUCAGAUAAAUCAGAGAAGUUUGCAUCAGUAAAGCAAAAAUAGGAUAUAUGCUAUUAAAACAGAGCUAUCAGAGAAAGGACGGAGGUCCUGAAAAUUAAAAUAAGUUUAAAAAAAUAUUAGAAUGGUGGAAGAUAAAUGGAGCCAGCCUUCCAUGAAGUAAAAUUAUAAGAAAAAGAGAUGCACAAAAUGGGAGAGGAAAGAAAAGAAAAUUUGUUCAUUGAUCCAAGAAUUUCAUUCUUUGGUAAGAGUUAUAGAAAAAGAUAGAGGAAAAUGACAGAGAAGAAGUUAAUUUUAUAAAAGAAAAAAUACAAGAAUAUUUGUUGUAUAUGUGGGACAUAUAUAAUAUAUAUGAAACGCCUACAAAGUACCCAGCACAAUGAAUGGAUAAAGACCCAUACCAGGUCAUGUAUCACUGUGAAAUUUCAAAGUACUGAAAUACAAGGAUGACCCCAAAAAUAUCUGGGAAAGGAAGAAAAAAAGGGUAAAUACACACAAAACAUUAGAAAUGAGAAAGUCUUUGAACGUCUCAAUAGCAACACUGGAAGCUAGCAAAGAGUAGAUCAAAUUUUGAGGGAGAAUAAUUUUUAACCUGGAAUUCUUCUGUAACCAGCCAAACUGUCAAUAGUCAAUAAAGAUACCUUUAGAUAGUCAAGUUCUCAGAAAUUUUACCUCAUGGGAAUUCCUUCUCAUUUAGUUUCUGCAGAGUGUGUUUCACUAAAACAGGGAGUACACCAAGAGAGAAGAAAAAGACAAGUACUCAAGUAGGUAGAUAUCUAAUCCGGGAGAGAGGCAAAGGGAAUGGUCCGUUGAUAGUGAUGGGCUGAAAUCCCAGGAUAACUGGUUUGCUCCAGCCCCAGGGAGUAACCACCCCGUGGGUGAGCGAAAAGAUAGAGGGCUUCAGGAAAGUUCUACCCAAGGGGAAAAAUGUAAUGCCUAAUUAAUGUUUGUCCGUGUUUAGAGACAUUUACAACUCUAUUGGAGACUUUGGGGAUGAAUUAGUGAUAAAUACAUAGAAAACAAAACAAAUGCAGAAGUGAAGCAGUAAUUAAUUCAGAGAACAAAUAGUUGUACAAGAAAGAAAAUAAAAUCAUAGUAUAUUACAUAGUUCAGCCAAGAGCAAUUUUAUACAUUCAUAAUUAUGUAAACGUAAAAUGAUGUAUUAAAACGAUAUAACUGUGGUGGAUGAAGGGAAGCAGAGAAAGUGAAGUGGGAGUGAGGAGAGCUGAAAGAGUUAGAGCCACAUCUUGCAUAGUAAGUAGACUGAAGAAAGAGUAAAGGAAAUCAUCGUGAAUGGCUAAAAUUGAUGAGUCAUGAAAAGUAGCUAAAAGCAUUGAAAGGCUGCUUAUGUGGAGCUGAAAUCUGCUGGUGGACAUGGGAUGGGACUUUUUCAUCAUAAAUGUUGUAGAACCCUGACUUUUUAAAUUAUGUACAUGCAUUAUUUUGGUCAAAAAUAGAAUUCAGAAUAUGCCUAUGACUUUGAUAUUCUCUUCCAUAUUAUACCUGUGAUUGUUUUACUGUUAAGAAAAGUUUCCAACUCUCACAAUGCUUGAAUUAAAUGUUCAUUUGAUGGUCCAGGUUGAUUAUGUGGAUUGCUGUGCCCACUUUCUUGGCUCGUAGCCACAUACUUCUACUAGGAUAUAAAACCCACUUCGAAAAAUAUGGAUUUAAUUAUUUCCUCAUUAUAUAAAACUGUGCUGUGAACAUUUAAGAACAUAAAUAAUUUUUGAUAAAGUUAUGGUAGUAACCACUGCUGUAUGAAUGAAAAAUUGUUUUUAAAAAACCCCAACAAUACCCCUUUGGAUAUUCUGUGAUUCAAAAUGCCAAUCCUUAUUUUGAACUUUGUUGUCCAUCCAAGUAGCUGUUUAUCAAGAAUCUACUUAGGUGGGUAGUACAUUAUAUGGUGAAGAGUUUGUUUACUCAAAUGCAGUUUAGAAGUUUUUGUAAAUGUAGAUAUGACUGCUCUAUUGUAGUAUCAUUGUGUGAGGAAGCACUCCCUAAAUCUAAAUACUUAUGUGGGAUCUUAUCUCUUGAAAACAAUUUGAGAAAAGCUGACUGUAUUUAAUAACUUUAAAUUUGUGAAACCAUGGGAUUUCUACCAAGUAAAGGAUUAGGACAUCAUCUUCUGUAAUGGCCUGUUAUGCUUCUGGGCUAGGAGGAAGUACAUGACAACAGAUGGAUUAGAUGACCUAACAGUUAUUUUUCCAUUUAAAAAGAAUUCUUAUUUUCUUUUUAAUAAAUUCAGAAAACAACCACUCCACAUAUGACAUUUUACAACAGGGAUUAGAUCCCUUUCUAGAUUGUGAGAGAAUCAUUGUCUAUAUUCCAGUACCAAUAUAAAAAGGUUUUAUGUUGAUAAUUAAUAAAUAUCGUUGUCAACCUAUGAAAGAGACUUUUCAAAAUAAACUAAUGAAAUUUACCUGAUACACAAGAUAAAUAACAAUAUUUCAUGCAAAGAUGAUAAUUAUGUCAAAUACUGUAAAGUCAUAAUAUUUAGAAACGAAAGAGGAAAGUAAGGGGGAAUAAUUUAUGAGUGGGCAAAGAUGAUUUGAGGCUUGGCUUUUAUGAUUCAUAAUAAAUAUUAAAAAUUUUUCCUCAUAAGACUGUUGCAGGAGAACUGCAAACAAUUUUAAUCAUAGGAGGCAGAAGGGAAUGUUGCCCAUUUUUGCUGAAGCUGUGCUUUUUUCUUUAGUUAUAAAUAGAAAAUAUGAUAAUUACAAAGUACUAAUCUUAUGUGUACAACAUUGAGCAAAAAAUACAAAAUAUUUAUUUUCUAUAAUUGAUAUAUUUAUGUUCAUUCCUUUUAUAGUUCUCAUCUUCCACCACUCACCAAAUUGCUUUACUUCUCCAAGUGACAUGUGCUCCUAUGACACAGAUGUCAGUAACAGCCUAAGCUGGACUGUACCCCAGCCAUACAAACUAAGAGAAGAAAUAUAUUGAAAUUAGGUUCCUAGAACUUGUGAAGUUCUAUGGAAUUUGUGUUAGUACAGAAUUCUGGGAUUAGUAAACAGGUAGAAAGACACGUAUUGGAGGAUUACAUGGAAAAUAGGAAAACAGCGAUCAAUUUUAAGGUAAUAAAAUGUGUUGAAACUUCUCAAAAUUAUUAAAAUUCUUCCAUACUUUCAUUAUUUGAAAAAAGUAAUGAUUACUCAUUUCAGUGCUGCUUAUAUUUCCAAAUCAUAUUUUGAUCUAUUUGCAAGACAGAUAAUUCCCUUUAUUUAGAGAAUUUAUAAUCUAGUGGAACUGUUAGUCGUUUAGCCGGGGUAGUUGGAGAGCGUAAGAUAGUUUGAGGGCCGUGGGAAUGUUUGUCCCAGAGUGCUAGUGCAUGCGACUUAAAAGGCAUCCAUGAAUAUUCAGAGCACUGCCGUGAGACUGAAACAGAUGGACACGCUGAAAGAAAAGAGUAUUUGAAUAUAGGAAAUUCGGUGAAGAUGCAAUUAUAAUUUAGUUAUAGCAUGACCAAGGUAAGUGAGUAUGUAAAAGAUAAAACUUUUUGCUAUUAUGAUAGGUGAAGUAUCAAGGGGCUUCCCAUGACCUUAUUUCACAUGGGUUCUAUCACUUUUUUAUUUUACUGAUGUCUUCCUGUGUGGAAAAUGUGGGAGUUAAUCUGUAGUCAUGAAAACUUGAGGGAAAAAGUAGAAAAUCUCAGAAAAAUUGAGAUUAAAAUAUAUGGUAAUAAAAUCUGUUGGAGCAAUCCAUUGAAACAUUCUUGGUGGCAAAAUUCACAUUUGUGAAAGGCUUCAAACUUAGGCUUUUUGAUGUUAUUUCCAAAUAAGAUUUUACCUACAGUUCCAGAGAAACCCUGAUAGGAUGAAAGAAUAAUUCUCUUAUCUUACUACUUAAAAUUUGAGUCCCAUUAUCAGAUCAGAUUACCUAUAUUGUGCUAUGAAUAUUUUCAGAGCUUCUGUUGAUUAUGAUCAGAAAUGCAUAAAAUUUUAUAUUAGACACAGUUGUAAAUGUAUAGAAUUUUAUGUUAAAUCAAUAAUUUGUUAAAUGUAAACAUUUAGAAGUGUUCCUAAUUUUUAAGACCCUGUUUGGUGUUUCUUCAUUUUUAAUAUGUCGUGAGCUAAAAGAAUUUUUUAAAAAAGGAAGUGGCUCUGAAUCUUAUCUUCCAAAUUUUAUUCUUUUUCUGAAAUUAAAGAACAAAUUCAAGUUGUCAGAUUCUUACUUCUGAGAGCCCUGUAAAGGGUUAACUUUGAUAGCGUAUGCCAUUUGGAUUGUAUCAGUCAGAGAAUAUGAAAUUGUUUGAGGGAACCAAAAGAGGAAAAACUCCAGUAGCCUAUCCAUGUGAUUGUAUAACAGUCAGCUUUCAAAUUCAUGAUCGAAUAUAUUGAGCAUAUUCUCCAACCCUUGGAUGCAUCCAUUAUUAAUUACAAUUAUGUAGGGACAGUGUCUAAUUGGAAGGUAGUCUGUCAGUUCUGCUUCAUUUGCCCGUAUUUUCCUUGAAAUGUUCUAGGUAUUGAUGAGAACAGCCUCUUUGUUCCAAGAUAUCAAAGGUUUUACGAUCCAAAAUGAGAUCAUAUGUAUAUGUAUGCAGAUGUCGCCAGUGUACCAUAUAGGAUGAUUGACAAGCCUUUGUUUGCAUUAUUCUGUGAAGUUCUUUAUUUGUUCUUACUUCAGAAAGUGUUCUGUCAGAAGUCUAAUGAGGUGGCAUUUUCAAGUAGGAAGUCGGUUAUGAUUGUCUUGGAUUAGUGUUCUGCUUUUCUUCUCAGUGUUUUUCCAUGACUUAUCUUUUAGUUGUUUAUAGACUGCUGUCACCUCAGUGUCACAAGAGAUGGUACAGACCUCUUCCUCUAGUUUUUUAAACUUCUCCCACUUAAGAAGGAGACCAAAUUUAAAUUUGAUUACAUCAAAAUAAUUACUUUUUAAAUUUGUCAUGUAAUUUUCUGUAAUUUGUCAUUUUUCAGGCACUUAAUAUAGCACUUAUAUGAGCCAAGACUGUUCUAAGUGCUUUGCAAAUAGAAGCUAAUUUAAUAAGAACUUUAUGAGGUUGAUACUAUUAUCAUCUUCAUUUUAUAGAUGAGGAAACUGAUACUCAGAGAGGACCAUAGCUAGUAAGUGAUCAUAGUGUUCUCAGGUCUUUUUAUUCUUAUGGGGUGAAUAAUCAGACAUUUUUAUGUUAAAAGGGGCCCUUGAUUACAAAUCAUACUUUUUAAUAGAUAAGAGAAUAAAAACAAUACCUAAUUGAAGAAGUCAAGGGAAUCCCUCAAUAUUUAUAAUAUUUAUUAUAAUAUAUAAUAUACAUAAAUAUAUAUUAUUAAUAUUAUUAAUGUUAAUACUUGUUAAUAUACUCAAUUUCGAUUUAUUUUAUUUCAAUUCGAAUCAGUUGUAUUUGGCUAUUUUUUAGACCUCUAUAGAAUUAGGUGCUAACAGAGGACUAGGUUGCUCCAGGUGAUUCGUGAAGUGCUAUUCUUUCCUUCACUCAGCAUGUCUGUUCAUUUGUCUUGUCUAUCAGAAGUAUAAAGACCUUCGAUAAAUAGGCUGCCUUUCCUAUCGUGUCCUUGGAUCUGGACUCAUAAUUUCCUGUGAAUUUGGUAUGUACAGUGAACUUUUGGCUUGCUGAUACCAGCAAUUGUUUGGUACUUUAAUUCUGGCUUAGCAUAUGCCUUUAAAAUCGUAUUCAGUUUUUUUGAGUAGCUAUUGAACUCAAAUGCUUAUAUAAAAUUUAAGUUCAUUUGUUUUCUGCACUGAAGAUGCUAAUUCCCUCUUAUGUUGAGUUAACCUGCUUGCUGUUGUCAUUUUUCACUAAGUAACUAUGAAAUUCCCAAACUUCACUUGGUUAUUCAUUAGUUAAUCCAGGGAAAAAAUGAAAGUAAAAUAAUUUGCCUUUUAUUUCCUCUCUUAUGUUUGGAUUCCUAUGUUAAUGACAAUCAAUUUGUAAUAAUGGCUUAUGGAGUUCACCAAUUUCAGGAAACUCCUGACCACCUCUUCAGCUAUCUUCCUUAUUGAUACAGGAAGAACUGUAUUUGGAAGCUUUUGAUUAGCUCUUGUUAAAUACGUACUAAAGUGUAUUACAGAUUUUACCACUGAGUCAUUUUGUAACUAUCUCCUUUUUGUUUCUAAUACAUGUUUUUUCCAUGUGAGUACAUCUCUAAAGUUACUGAGUUUCCAGAAACACAAAUAAAGAACAGAUGGGUACUCACACCUUACAACGAGUACAAUGGGGACAGAGGACUUUCAUCACAUCCCUGUGUCAGCGUGUUAGCUAUCAUGUGGUGGACAUCUGUGGUUGUUUGAAAUGGUCCCUGCUGCUGUUUUGGACUCUCUCAGAUCUGGUCUUCUUUACAGUAGCUUAUUUUCAAGCAAUUGGGUUUCUCCAUUGUUUAUUUGUCUGAAGAAAGACAGACAAUUCUGAGCUCCAAAUAAUGUGAAAUGUUAAAGAAACUAUUAUCUGAUUAGGUACAUAGAAAUGCUGAGGCAAGAAAAGAGGGGAAAUCUCCAGGGAACAGAAAUGAAAAGAUAACUUGAAGUCAGAGCAUGAGUUAUGCUUCAUUGGCCAGAAGAGUCAUUUGGCUGUAUAUAAGUUCUGUGGGCUUGAGUUUAAUGCCUCUGUUGUGAUAGGGUAUUAGGAACUGGUUAGGGGGAGAGGAGGGAGGGUGGAAGGGAACCCCCCAUGCACAUGUUUGAAUGACGUCAGAAUUUAUACUGUCCCCAUAACACAGGAAUCUCAAGCCAAGAGAUUGUCUGAAACUUUUGCAAAAGCAAAGCCUAUGCUAUUCAGAAGCUAAUGCAAAGCUCAUGCAGAUGGGACUCUUCUAGAAAGAAUACCUCCUUUGAAUAUAAGCGCAGAAUAAAAAAUUCCGGCCACAUGAAUUAUCUAACACGAUACAGUCAACAAUAAAAAGGAGAGUUAUUACCAUACAUCAUGAAGUAAUAUAAAACAUUGAAUGUAAUAUAAAAUAAGUGUAUUUUAAGUGAUUAAGCAGAUUUUAAAGGAAUAGUAAACAUAAUAAAAUAGAGCAAAGGAAAAAUACAUACAUAGAAAAUAGGCAAACAAAAUAAGAUGGUAGAAAUAAAUAAGUAAAUCAAUUAUGUGACUAUAAACUCUCCUGUUAAAAGACGGAUUGUAGAUUCUAUAAAAUACAAAAUCCAACUUAAUGCUGUUUAUAAGAAACACAGCUAAAACAUAAGGAUCAUAAAGGUUGGAAAUAAAGAGAUAAAAGUAAUACACCAGAAAAACAUUAAUGAAAAUAUAACUUGUGAGUCAAUUUUAUUAUCAUACAAAAAAUACAUUUCAAGGCAAUAAGUAUUGCUAAGAAUAGGGAAGACCAAAUGACUAGGAAGAUAUGAGAACCUGUAUUCACCUGACAAUAUAACCUCAGCAUACAUAAAGCAACAAUUGACUCACAAGUUGAAAUUAAAAAAUCCAAAAUCAUGUUGAAAGUUUUUAAAACACCUCUGUCAAACACUAAUAUAUUAAGCAGAUAAGAAAACACACAAAAAAAUAGCAGAUUUGAACAGUAUAUUUUAAAUAAGUUAUUCUAAUGGAUGAAUGAAUGGAUGGAUAGAUCCCUUUAACAAUUACAGAAUGUACUUUUUUCAAGCAUACUAAAACAUGACAAUAUUUAACUAUAUACUAGGUCACAAAGGACUUCUUGACUAGAGAAUCAAGCUACAGUUCAAGUUUUCUGUAAUAACUUAAUCGUAAAAAGAUUGUCUCUCCCACAAAUAUAAAAGCACACACAUAAGAAGAUCUGUGGACCAAAGAGAAAACUUAAAGAAAGAUUGUGAAAUACGUAGACUUGAACACCAGCCAAAACACUGCAUAUCUGAACUUGAAGCCAAAUAAUUUGUAUAGUUUUAAAUGCACAUUUUAGCAAUGAUUGAAGAUUGAUGAGCCACUCUUUCAAUUUGUGUCAUUCAGUCUAAGAAACAGGGUAUACAACAAAGAGAAUCCUCAGGAUGAUGCUGAAGGGAGACCCAGGAUGACUGUGUGAAAUGAGUAAGAGGAACCUCAACUAAAUUGGAAUGGGGGAGUCCUGUAGGGGGGCUCUCACAUCCUAUUGUACAUGGUCAAUUACUCCAAACGGAAACAGACUUAGGUUUGCAUCUCUGGAGGGAAGUGCAAGUACUUUCCUACUGAAGGAAGAUUUCUCUCUGCCUGUCAACUGCAGCCAACUGCAGCUCAGCCAAUGAGAAGCUAUUGCCCCCCGAGUGUUACUUUCCUUCAAUGGACUUUUGUUUAGAACAGCUCUCCCUACUCUCCCGUUUGCUCUAUAAAAGUAAGCCCCUUCCUUUGUCUCUCUGGAUUUGCAUAUGGUCGACCAAAGCAUGGACAUCACAAAUUGCAAUUCAUGAAUAAACUCGUUUUGAGGGUAAAAUAA
Equus caballus (horse) is the source of this 9633-nucleotide long non-coding RNA. RefSeq lists it as uncharacterized. The record is from RefSeq and is a predicted model, not a curated record. NCBI's taxonomy places the organism in Eukaryota, Metazoa, Chordata, Mammalia, Perissodactyla, Equidae.